This is a long non-coding RNA of Cataglyphis hispanica, 2561 nucleotides long. RefSeq lists it as uncharacterized. Lineage: Eukaryota; Metazoa; Arthropoda; Insecta; Hymenoptera; Formicidae. The record is from RefSeq and is a predicted model, not a curated record. The transcript is spliced from 2 exons.
UUAUGAUUUUUAAUAAGAGUGAAUAAUUUUGUCUCCAAGCUAUAUGAUUGUCGAGUUUUAAUUGCGCUUAAUGAGAUACGAAACACACGUGGAACAGAUGCGCGCGAUUCGUACGAAACGUCUCGCUGCAUUUCCUGGGGAGAAUUCUAGCUGGUUCAAUGGGAACGACGGUUAAGAAAGGACACAAAAAAAAACAUCGAUGCAAGGUCAAAGGAUAUAUAACGAAUCAAAUGAAUCCCUUUCGACCGUUUGAGUAAUGUCGAAAACUCAUCGCGAGAGAAAGAGAGAGAGAGAGAGAGAGAGAGAGAGAGAGAGAGACUUCUUCCCUUUAUUUUAAGAAGAAAUAAUCUUUCAACAUUUAUUGCGUUUCUUAUGAGAUGCUCAAGGAGAUUUCAAAACGAAAAUUUUUUUUAUAAAUAAAUGCAUUUAAAAAUACCUUUAAAAAUAUUUUUCCUAUCGAUAUAUUAUGUAAUUAUUAAAAAAAAAAUAAUUUUUAAUGAAAUUGUUUAAAAAAAUUAUAUAAUGUAUCAGAGGGAAAAAACAUAUAUAGUUCUUCAGUAUUGUUCUUCAGGAUAAAUUUAUUUAAGAUGGUAUCUCGGUCUAUCCGCCCCUUCCUGUUUCCUUUUUACGAGCUUGGCUAAUCUCUUCACCACAUCCUGUGGGUGGAAUGUGCAUCGUGUUUGUUAUAAAGUUCUCCGUUCGAACUUGAAAAUCGUCAGUCCACGCCUUUCGUUGCUCGCGACAUUUUUCCGCAAGUAUCCCCUCGCUGAUCCGGAAAAUUGUGAUAACAUAAGUAAUAUUAAUUGAAGUGUGCUUCGUCAUAUAAUCUAACAAUGGACUCUAAAGUGUUCUGCUUGAAGAAUGGAAUAUUUAUGAUAAAAAAAGUGUGCCAAGCAGUGUGUUAGUGAAGAUGUUCUAUUGGGGUGAUGACUAGAGCCGCAAGUCAGAAGUCUUGACGAGUCAUUCCAAGUACCUGAAUCAGACUGUCGACGCGCGCAAGCAAUAUAGAUAUUUUCUAUGCUUUAUAAAAGAAUUCUAUUACCUCAAAACUACUUUGUCCACUAAUCUGGCUGUCUUUUUCUUCAGAUUACUGACAUGGGUAGUAGCCUAUUAUCCGUGUGAUCGCAAACAAGUGUUAAUUUGUAAACCUACUUAUACUUGUAACAUUGACUUAUCGUAUAAUUUUCGUUCUCUUUAGAUGUACAAUCUUUGUCAAGUUCUUAAUAUUCUUAGAAAAAUAAUUUUCUUCAAUUUCUAAAAGCGCAAACAAUUAGAAAUGAAUCCGAAUCAAAAUUAACAGAACACGCGGUUCAAAGGAGAAACCUAAUCUGACUUUAAUUAAAUGAAUUAAUUAAAUAAUUCUGUUACAUUGCCACAGCUGAGAUUUGUCAAUAAUUUUAUUUGCGUUAUUUCUUGAGCAUAUUGAUUGUCAAAAUUGGUGCUGCAAGCAAGAUGAUGGCUGUACGGAGAUCUUUAUUUCUCCCCAAUUGAAAGAAGAGACAAGAUUAUUAUCGAACAAUUACGUUGCGGCUCUUCAUCGGGCACUUUGCUUUUUUAAAUGCGAGCUGCCUUUUGAAGGGCAACAUCGUGGUCGAUUGUAUUCAUCCAUGGAAAAUUAUGACAAAACGCUUAUAUUUUAUUAAAUACUAAUUAUCCGUAAAAACAUUUUUACACAUUUCAUUUUUUUUUCUUUUUAGAUCGAUUAAAACAAAAUAUGUCUUUUACUUUUUCGUUAAAUUAAGAUUAUAUAAAAAUCAGGAAAAUGUAUUUGCAUUUGUAUUUGCAUUAUUUUAGUCUGACUAUCAAAGCAUUCUUUAUCUGUAAAUAUAAAUAUAAAUUUCUACGGUAAGUUUCGUAAAUUAUUCGCUGUAAAAAAUUCUCUUUCCAUAGCGGAUAGUAUUUUUUAUUAAAUUGUUUGAUACACAACCAUAUUUUGGUGCGACAUAACGUAGGAGUGUUAAUUAAUAUUUCUUCGUCAAAAUCAAAGUUCGAUAUUAGUGUUAUGAUUUUUCUAUGCACGAUUUUAUAAAUUAUAGCAAUGUGUAUGUUGCUCCAAUUUUGCAAUGGGUCAAUUAUCGUGUCGCUUUCGCACGAUUUUAUUUCUUAUGAAUCUUUUAGUCACGAUUCUAAAUUGAGUGUAUUAUUUUAUUUCAUUCUCCCGUUAUAAUGCAAUGAACUCUUAGUAAUUAUAUAUAUAAGUCUCAGCAAUUUGCAUACACAUACACAUUUCUUUCAUAAAAAUGAUAAUUAUUCUAAUGUGAUAAAUAUAAAUUAUGCUACUUUGCCUGUAGAUCGAUGUGUAUAACUAUGUGUAUAACACUGAUUAACUUUAAUGCGUGACAAUAACAAUAAUAUUAAUAUAAUAUUAUAACACACAUAGAUAUAUAAUAAUUAUAUUCAGGUAACUUUAAGGACGUUAUUAAUAUCUAACAAUAAGAUAAAAGCAACAUGUAAUUUGAUUGUACGAUUGUACGAGUUUAUAAGAAUGGAUGAUAGCCAAGUUAAGAUUCUGCAUAUUCUUAUACACAAAUUAACGUUAAUUAAAAAAUUUAUCAAUACUA